Molecule: long non-coding RNA, 6183 nt
Organism: Meriones unguiculatus (Mongolian gerbil)
Lineage: Eukaryota; Metazoa; Chordata; Mammalia; Rodentia; Muridae
Exons: 3
Source: RefSeq, a predicted model, not a curated record
UGUGGUCCCGCCGGGCCUGGAACUGGGGCUGAAACAAAGCAAACGCCGUGCGUAGCCGGAGAGGCGCGGCGUCUGCAGCGGUUCGCUCUUCACACGCUCUGGGGAAGUCCGUGGGCAACCAGACUAUCCGGAACUUAGCAUGUCAUGGGAGACGGCCUUGAGCCAUUGUUGUAGGCUGAAAGAACCAAGGGUGUCAGAGCUACGACGUGCGAGUUUAAGUAGACGAAAGCUCCUCCUAACACGCGAAUGAAGUCCAGUUUUUGGGUUUGUUUUCCACAGAUGAAGGUGGGGAGGGAGCGUUAGUCUUUGUGCGGAGAACACACUGCCAAGAGCGGCGUUGGCAUCCACAGGUAUCUAGCACCUUCUCGGACUGAACUCUACGUGCUGGAACUUGCUGGCUUCGUUAUGUCUGGGAAAACGCUGGAAAGAGGGGAAUACAUUUUAACUGAGGUUCAGCACAAAUUUCGACUGCGUGGAGCGUCAUCAGAUCAGCAAGGCACUACACUCCAUGUCUGGAGUCGUCUGUUGCGUAUUUUACAGAUAGGCGGCCAGUGUUUUGCAUUAGGCUUGCUUAACUUCCUCCUCCAUUCUCUCUGCUCACCCCAACGUACGUACAAGUAAAUACAAUGUACUCAGUACUACAGCAAAUGUCUUUCCACCCUUUUGCAAACUUAAAAACGGUCUCGUUGACAUUUCAGAUAAAAGCUAAUGAUACCAUGCGUUCAACAACGGGACUCUGAUCUUGCUUCAUGAUGCCACACCUAAACCUGUCCAUAACCCUAUCAGUCCUGUGACUUCUACUUCAACUAAGGCUGCACAUUCACCAGUGGCAUCUCCCAGUGUCAAGCCUCAGCUGCUCUCCAUGCCCCCUUCAUAUCUUCAAGACCAGUAGCACCUGGGAAACUCUUGCACAUUACCAGGUUCAACUGCUAGGAUGAGAUGCAGCCUUGGCCAGCUCUGGACCCACAGGAGAAAACUUCCUGAACAAAACACCAACAGCACAGGCUCUAAUAAUAAAAAAUCAAUAAAUGGGACCUCAUGAAACUGAAAAGUUUCUGUAAAGCAAAGGACAGUCAUCAGAACAAAACAACAGCCUACAGACUGGAAAAGAAUCUUCACCAACCCUAUAUCUGACAGAGGGCUAAUAUCCAGAAUAUAAAAAGAACUCAAGAAGUUAAACAGCAACAAGUAAUACAAUUUAAAAAUGGGGUACAGAGCUAAACAGACAAUUCUCAAUAGAGGAAUAUCAAAUGGCAGAGAAACACUUAAAGAAAUGCUCAACAUCCUUACUCAACAGGAAAAUGCAAAUCAAAACGACCCUGAGAUUUCACCUUACACUCAUCAGAAUGGCUAAGAUCAAAAAACUCAAGUGACAACACAUGCUGGAGAAGAUGUGGAGAAAGAGGAACCCUACUUCAUUGCUUGUGGGAAUGUCAACUUGUACAACCACUUUGGAAAUCAAUCUGGUGCUUUCUCAGACAAUUAGGAAUAGUACUACCUCAAGAUCCAGCUAUACCGCUCUAGGCAUAUAUCGAAAAGAUGCUCAAGUAUACAAGGACAUCUGCUCAACCAUGUUCGUAGCAGCUUUAUUUGUAAUAGCUAGAAGCUGGAAACAACCCAGAUGUCUCUUAGUUGAGGAAUGGAUGCAGAAACUGUGGUACAUUUACACAACGGAACGCUACUGAGCAAUUAAAAACAAGGAAAUCAUGAAAUUUGCAGGCAAAUGGUGGGAACUAGAAAAGAUCAUCCUGAGUGAGGUGUCCCAGAAGCAGAAAGACACACAUGGUAAAUACUUAUAAGUGGAUAUUAGACAUAAUAUAGGAUAAACAUACUAAAAUCUGUACACCUGAAGAAGCUAAUCAAGGAAGAGGACCCUGGGUAAGAUGCUCAAUCUUCAUUCAGAAAGGUAGAUGGAAUAGACAAGACAGGAACAAGACAGGAGGCUACCACAGAGGGCCUCUGAAAGACUCUACCCAGCAGGGUAUUAAAGCAGAUGCUGAGACUCAUAGCCAAACUUUGGGCAGUGUGCAGGGAAUCUUAUGAAAGAAGGGGGAGACAGAAAGACCUGAAAGGGUCUGAAGCUCCACAAGAAAAACAACAGAACUGAAAAAUCUGGGCCUAGGGGUCUUUUCUGGGACUGAUACUCCAACUAAGGACUAUUCAUGGAGAUAACCUCCACAGAAGUAGCCCCAUGGCAGCUCAGUCUCCAAAUGAGCUCACUAAUAAGGGAAGCAGGGACUGUCUCUGAUAUGAGCUCAGUGGCUGGCUCUUUGAUCUGCUCCCCGAGUGGGGAGCAACCUGACCAGGCCACAGAGAAAGACUAUGAAAGACAGUCCUGAUGAGCCCUGAUAGGCUAGGGUCAGAUGGAAGGGGAGGAGGUCCUCCACUGUAAGUGGACUGGGGAAGGGGCAUGGGAGAUGAGGGAGGGAAGAAGGGCAGAAUUGGAAGGGAAGGAGGGAGGGGGCUACAGAUGGGAUACAAAGUGAAUAAAUUGUAAUAAAUAAAAAACUAACAAAUAAAUAAAUAAUAGGUAAAUGUUCUAGGAGAUAAAGAUAUCUAAAGAUAAAACUUGUUAAGUGAUCAAAAGACUAAGAAUCCACUUCUACACUUUCUACUGAAUCUUUCAGACAGGCAUCAAUGAACAGAAUGAAGUGCAAUUUUGACAUGACAGGCUGAAUUUAAUUUGAAAAUGAAAACGCAAUCUACUGUUUUACAAGCUUUGAAUGAAAAGGAAAGGAAACACUCCAGGAAUUAUUAUGGAGCACUGAUUCUCAAAGUGCGGAGAUGGGGAAGCUCAAAUAUAACAUAUAUGUGUAUAACUGUAUUUCUGCAUUUCCGAGGCUUGAAAUAAAGUGGCAUGUUAGGCUUGAAAAAUGUUAAGAGUGAGUACAUUUUCUUCAUUACCACAGACAGCAAAUAUGGUAUACUGACCUCAAGAAGUUCUCUCUCUUCCGUCCUACUGAAAUAGAACAAGACUAAAGAAAAAAGAAAAGGGCUAAGAAAAUUAACACGUCACCCUAGAUCAAUCUCAAAAUAUCAUAAGUAAAAUAGUUUCAAAAGAUUGCAUAUGGUAUGACACUAUAAUACUGCAGAAAACAAACUAAUUACUGGUUUCCAGGAAAAAGGGUACAAUGAAGAAAUGUUUCACAAGAGUUUAUUGGGCAUGGUAGACCUAUUUGUUAUCCUAUCUUGGUGUUAAAACUCACACCCCAAGUAUACAAAAGCAGGAAAAAAGUAGUGUUUACCAUAAAAUUUUUAAAAAUGAUUAAGCUCCAAAUGGAUGACAGGGAGAUAAGCAAUUUCAACAAAUGUGUAAAAAUAGCCAGAUGUAGUGUAAUUAAAGUCGACAGAGGAAGCUAUAAUCUCAAGAAGCUGUAGGAUGGAAUCACUAUGAGGCAUGCCUACUGAUCCACAUGCCCUCGGAAGAAUAGAUAUGGAGCAAAAGUUACAGCAAAAGAUAGACUCUGGGAUAAGCCUGAAAAUGGUGAGUUGAAAAAUGUAGAAAUCAAAAUGGUCAGUUCUAUAAGACAUUAUUCUUCUAUACCAAAUUGUAUACGGUCAAAGCCAUGGCUGAGGAGCUCACAAGCCCUAGCUGUGACCUACUACUACUGUUCUGCUAAAGGGACACAGAAUAUCCACAGAUUGCCAGAAAAGUGUAUCCACACAGUGGAUGGUGAUUAACAGAAACUCACAACUGAACAAUAUGGAGAACAAAUGUCAAUAGGAUGUGCAAGCAAAUAUAGGACAUCUACAUCACCCCUGACAAGACUUGGGGACAUCAUACAAGUCAGGCGGAAAUACUGGGAAAGCCAGAGACUAAAAAGAACAGGAACAAAAUGCACGAGUGUUAUGUGCAUGUACAGGUGUGUGCACAUGCACACACACACACACAAAGCACUAACACAGAGAUUGUUCACCAAAAAGCAGGCUGUUUAAAAACAACAGAAACAAAAGUAGUCUUAGAAAUGAAUUUUUCUAAGGAAGAUGGUACUGAAAGAUCAAAUUGAAUUCUGUAGAGGAGAAAUUACUGCACCACCACAGUGAAUACACAGAAGGCAACUACACAGCAAAAUUAGAGGGACAGCAUCUAAGACACAUUCACCAAAAGCAGGAGUGGAAAGAAAAUCGCUUUCAACCUGAAAUGCUAUGUAAGGUCAAACUAUUAGUAAAAUAUGGAGGUAAAAAUAAGAUUUAUAUGUCAUUUCUUUUUAAUUAAAAAAUGUUUAUUUCGUAUGUUUAUGUGUAAGUCUCUGGAGAUGAAAAGAAACUUGUAUGGUGGAUUACACUUUUUCAUCAUAAUGUAUUGAGAAUAAUUAUUUGAUUUUGAAAACUGUACAUACCAUAUAUGUGUGUGUGUGUUUAUAUAUAAUAUGUGUGCAAAUAAGGUCACCGUCAUUUCAUUUGGUUUUAGACAAAUUUAUUUUAAAAUUUCAAAUGACAUUAGGAAAAAUGUGCUUUUCACAUUUACUGACUGAUGGGUGCACAGGCUAAAGUGGGCUUUAAAAUACUUUAUUAAAUCAUUCAAUCUACAAUAGGCAUUUAUACAUCAAAACUUUGUAACAGCAGCACUUUUAUUUACCUCCUUCACACUUAAAACUACUAUGUUUAUAAAGGACAAAACUUUGCAACUUAAAGAGCAUGUAAUAACCCUCAGGCAAUGUUUGCAUAAAGACAGGCUGAACAGUGUUUCCAAGCCCUACCUCUCCCUCCUUUACAUUAGGGUUUUCGCUUACUGCCUGCUUGGCUUCCCACUAUCACCAUCUAUUCCCCUGGAUAGAAUACCAGCCUUUGUCAGUCCCCCUAGAGCUAUAAGUCUCACCACUUCCUGGUAAGAACAGAUACUCCUCAGUAAAAAAUAAGUCUCGUGAUCAUGUUGUCAGUGAAUAAUAUAAAUAUUUUAAUUUAAUAGUUGAUGGCAUUUUACCAAAUGCACACGUGGUCAAGUUAAAGCCUGGACUUAAAACUGGGUUAAAACUUAAGCCUGGGUUAAAACUGAAUACUAAACAUUAUCAAGAAAAAAGAAGCAUUGUUAUUUUAGUAACACAUUAAACAGCACAAUUAAUUUUGUUCACUUUUAUUAAUACAAAACAUCCUAACAGAAUGUUAACUUUUAAUAUAAGUAAGGUUACAAAUAAACUUUGUCACUAUCCAAUAAAUAACAUUCCCUUGACUAUUAAUUGGAUUAUUCUCUAUUAGAACAGUUAUUUUCUCCAGUUUAUUUUAAACUGCCUUAUGAUUUCAAUGAAACAUCUUAGCUUUUGCUUAUUGAAUAAUUUUUACAGUUGGAAAAUUUCUCAUGCCAAAAUAUUUGCAAAUUAAUAUAUUUCUCUAUGCCUUCUACUUAGUCGCCUUAAUGACAUCAAAUUUUCUGAAAUAUAAAUGUCCUAUAUUCUUCACAUACACAAUAGGAAUUGAUUUCAAAUGCCAGGAACCGAGAACACAAGACAGACAAUCAAUGCACUCAUAAAACAGAUCAAGCUUCAAUUGAUUCCAUCUUCUCCAAGGUGUGAAAACGUUAAACCUUCUCAGUUUUCCUUCAGCAGACCCCAUGGUCCCCAGUUAGAGAAAGAGAUGUAGGCUAGUAGUCCUGUUUCAACAGCAUUUACUCUGGGAAGACUGGAAGAAACAUCCUGCGACUUAUGAGGAAUUCCCCAAAUAAACCAAACAUCAUAUGCACGAGGGACACUUUACAGAACAACAGCAUUCUGAACACUGAAACAAGAAUAGUUUAGAGAAAGAAGAACUUUCAUCUGAGAAAUUUUCAUAUAGCCAUAAAUCAAGUAACCCAAGAAAGUAAUAUUUUUCUAAGGUAAAAGUAUCCAUGAAUUACAAGCUCUUUAACAGAAUUUCAUGUCAUAAAAAUUAUGUGGCACAUUUCUACUAUGAACCAUUGACUUUUUUUUAUUCUUUUAAGCACAUAGUAAUCUAAACUAAUACAUUACCCAGACCAUUUGAUUUAAAAUAAAACCAAAGGAAAUCAUUAAAAAGUCUGAUUACACAAGCAUUCUACUACAUAAAUCUGAGUUACUUCAGUGUAAAAACAAAUAAUUUCAAUGCAAUGAAGUCAACUCUGAUUAAUACAUACAUUUUCAUGCAUGUGAAAAAAUAAUUUACAUUCACUCAAGAAUAAGUUUCAUAGCAAACAAAUUACAGCACUUAUUUGAUAAAGGAAUAUUAAAAUAA